RNAcentral lists this ribosomal RNA (468 nucleotides) under uncultured bacterium. Its description in RNAcentral is "partial 16S ribosomal RNA". It matches the Rfam family "Bacterial small subunit ribosomal RNA", at positions 28 to 507 of the family's 1533-position model. The record is from RNAcentral.
GACGAACGCUGGCGGCGUGCUUAACACAUGCAAGUCGAACGGAAAGGCCCUGCUUUUGUGGGGUGCUCGAGUGGCGAACGGGUGAGUAACACGUGAGUAACCUGCCCUUGACUUUGGGAUAACUUCAGGAAACUGGGGCUAAUACCGGAUAGGAGCUCCUGCUGCAUGGUGGGGGUUGGAAAGUUUCGGCGGUUGGGGAUGGACUCGCGGCUUAUCAGCUUGUUGGUGGGGUAGUGGCUUACCAAGGCUUUGACGGGUAGCCGGCCUGAGAGGGUGACCGCCCACAUUGGGACUGAGAUACGGCCCAGACUCCUACGGGAGGCAGCAGUGGGGAAUAUUGCACAAUGGGCGGAAGCCUGAUGCAGCAACGCCGCGUGCGGGAUGACGGCCUUCGGGUUGUAAACCGCUUUCGCCUGUGACGAAGCGUGAGUGGCGGUAAUGGGUAAAGAAGCACCGGCUAACUACGUG